GCUGCCUUGGCUAGAGAGAGCCGCGUGGCGGGCGCGCUUGUUCUAGUUGCGGAGGGGCGGCAGUAGCCGCUCGUCGGGGUGGUGGUGGGAGCGGGAUUUCCUGCGCGCCGGAGACUGGGCCCCGUCUCGCUCCCAGCCACGGGGCUACAUUCUUCUGGCGCGCUGCUUGGCGCGCGCUCCCGCCCGGCCGAGGCCUGUCUUCUCAGAGGAGAACAUGGCCCCGGGGGCGCUGGUGGCGCGACCAGAGGCGGUGGGGGAGGGGGCCGCCACCGCCUUUCCGGUAACGUGGCUCAUUGUGUCCCUGCAGGUGGGGACCGGACCGCAGCGGAGCCGCCGCCGGGGGCAGCGGGAUGCAGCAGGGACCUUGCAGACUUGAGACCCAGAGCAGCCAGCAGUUGCCAGGACAAACAUUCCUAAGUUGUGACGACUUUGAAGAAGGUGGGAUAAACAACACAGCCAGACUUGUAGAAACUUGAAGUAAAACAAGUUUGCUCAAGGGCCAUUUUAAAAAAAAAAAACCAACCCUUUUGAUUGCUGGUUGGAAGGAGAGCCAGCAGUGAAAAUUGUACUAUUUGCUUUUGAAAGUGGUGCAACAUAACCCAACCCAAGAAAGGCUGCAGCCAGUCAGCAACAUGAGCAAGUGUUAAAAGACCUGUCUAAUAAAUGCUAAAAUCUGGUUUGGAGGUGGGUAGUGAAAAUUUGAAUUUUUUGGAUGGGUCCUAAAAACUUGAGAUGCCAUUUGGUUCAUGAAGACUGUGCUUUAAAUGUCUUUUCAUAGUUCCGCACACAGCCUCCUGGAAGCUGCAGUGCACUGCCUUUAGACUUCCAUGCCAGCUGACUUGAUGCGGCAGUGUGGCUGGCAGUCCAGCAACUAAGAGGGUUGCUAGCACAAAAGCAAAAGAGUUUCUAC
Molecule: long non-coding RNA, 910 nt
Organism: Terrapene triunguis (Three-toed box turtle)
Lineage: Eukaryota; Metazoa; Chordata; Testudines; Emydidae
Exons: 3
Source: RefSeq, a predicted model, not a curated record